UACGAAGGGGACUAGCGUUGUUCGGAAUCACUGGGCGUAAAGCGCACGUAGGCGGAUAUGUCAGUCAGGGGUGAAAUCCCGGGGCUCAACCUCGGAACUGCCUUUGAUACAGCAUAUCUUGAGUCCGAUAGAGGUGGGUGGAAUUCCUAGUGUAGAGGUGAAAUUCGUAGAUAUUAGGAAGAACACCGGUGGCGAAGGCGGCCCACUGGAUCGGUACUGACGCUGAG
This 227-nucleotide ribosomal RNA is filed under the name uncultured bacterium. RNAcentral describes it as "partial 16S ribosomal RNA". It matches the Rfam family "Bacterial small subunit ribosomal RNA", at positions 524 to 750 of the family's 1533-position model. The record is from RNAcentral.